AUGGCUGAUCGACGUUGCUUGUCUGAGCGACAAGGCCAUCAUCUGCAAUCAAAUGGUGCAAUUGAUCUUGAAGUUGAUGGUGGGACUACAGGUCUUCAUCCAGAAAUAGGAAUCACAAAAGGUAACUCUCGAGCCAAAUGGAGUCACCAAAUGAAGCUGUACCUUAUUAAACUCCUAAAAGAUCACGAUGUGCCUGGUUUUCGGACACAGAAUGCUUGGAGCAAGGAGGCAUGGAAUAAUAUUCUUCAUCAACUCAAUCAAAAGUUUGAUCAGUCAUUUACUCUCAACCAAGUCAAACAGAAGGAGCAAGAUCUGAAGAGAGACUAUCAUACUGUGAAAAAGUUGUUGGAUGUAAGUGGCUUUGGAUGGGAUAAGGACAGAAAAAUGGUAGACGCACCUGAUAGUCGUUAUGCUGAAGGGAGAACUCGCCAAGGCAUGGACCAUUAUACUAGCAAGAGGAAGUAUGCACCAGUUCCCUUGUCACAGUUGACACCGAUGGCUGAUCUCGAUCAAUCACCAUCACCUACUAUGCCGGUUACCGGUGAGUCGGACAUGCGGUUUACUUUAGAUGAAGAACUUGAGGAAACCAACUUGGAUUCUCCCCCGCAUCUAUCUACACCUAUUCAGCAUGUGCAAGCCCCUCCAAGAUCCACACAAAUGGAGAAACAUGACACUAGGCGUGGGAAAAAACAGAAGCGUAGUGCUACUGAUGACUUCCAUGAGAAGUAUUUAAAACUGAAGAAGGAAGAAAUUGAUCGAUUUGCUGCCAUUGAGGAUAAGAAGCUAGAGGACCCCUACAGCAUCAACAAGUGUAUCACAGCAAUUGAAGGCUUGGAAGGUCUACAACUAGGAGAUAUGCUGAUGGCAUCAGAUAUCUUCAAAUGUAAGGAGAACAGGGAAGUUUUCUUGUCCUACUCUACUAAUGAACUACGGUUGGCUUGGCUUAAAAGAGAGAUUGCACGUGCCCAAACAAAUGAUCAAAAUUAG
RNAcentral lists this ribosomal RNA (987 nucleotides) under Triticum aestivum (bread wheat). RNAcentral's name for it is "partial small subunit ribosomal RNA". The record is from RNAcentral. Lineage: Eukaryota; Viridiplantae; Streptophyta; Magnoliopsida; Poales; Poaceae.